RNAcentral lists this ribosomal RNA (501 nucleotides) under uncultured bacterium. RNAcentral describes it as "partial 16S ribosomal RNA". It matches the Rfam family "Bacterial small subunit ribosomal RNA", at positions 30 to 523 of the family's 1533-position model. The record is from RNAcentral.
AUUGAACGCAGGCGGCAGGCUUAACACAUGCAAGUCGAGCGGAGAGAGGUAGCUUGCUACUGAUCUUAGCGGCGGACGGGUGAGUAAUGCUUAGGAAUCUGCCUAUUAGUGGGGGACAACAUUUCGAAAGGAAUGCUAAUACCGCAUACGUCCUACGGGAGAAAGCAGGGGAUCUUCGGACCUUGCGCUAAUAGAUGAGCCUAAGUCGGAUUAGCUAGUUGGUGGGGUAAAGGCCUACCAAGGCGACGAUCUGUAGCGGGUCUGAGAGGAUGAUCCGCCACACUGGGACUGAGACACGGCCCAGACUCCUACGGGAGGCAGCAGUGGGGAAUAUUGGACAAUGGGCGGAAGCCUGAUCCAGCCAUGCCGCGUGUGUGAAGAAGGCCUUAUGGUUGUAAAGCACUUUAAGCGAGGAGGAGGCUACUUUAGUUAAUACCUAGAGAUAGUGGACGUUACUCGCAGAAUAAGCACCGGCUAACUCUGUGCCAGCCGCCGCAGUAA